CUACGGGCCGCUGCAGUGAGGAAUAUUGCACAAUGGGGGGAACCCUGAUGCAGCAACGCCGCGUGGAGGAUGACGCAUUUCGGUGUGUAAACUCCUUUUAUAUGUCAAGAAAAUGACGGUAGCAUAUGAAUAAGCACCGGCUAACUCCGUGCCAGCAGCCGCGGUAAUACGGAGGGUGCAAGCGUUACUCGGAAUCACUGGGCGUAAAGGACGCGUAGGCGGGUUGGAAAGUCAGGUGUGAAAUCCUACAGCUUAACUGUAGAACUGCGCUUGAAACUUCUAAUCUAGAGUAUGGGAGGGGAGAUGGAAUUAGUGGUGUAGGGGUAAAAUCCGUAGAUAUCACUAGGAAUACCUAAAGCGAAGGCGAUCUCCUGGAACAUUACUGACGCUAAGGCGUGAAAGCGUGGGGAGCAAACAGGAUUAGAUACCCGCGUAGUC
Molecule: ribosomal RNA, 438 nt
Filed under: uncultured bacterium
Lineage: Bacteria
Description: partial 16S ribosomal RNA
Rfam family: Bacterial small subunit ribosomal RNA
Source: RNAcentral